Molecule: ribosomal RNA, 503 nt
Filed under: uncultured bacterium
Lineage: Bacteria
Description: partial 16S ribosomal RNA
Rfam family: Bacterial small subunit ribosomal RNA
Source: RNAcentral
AUUGAACGCUGGCGGCAGGCUUAACACAUGCAAGUCGAGCGGGGUGAUGGUGCUUGCACUAUCACUUAGCGGCGGACGGGUGAGUAAUGCUUAGGAAUCUGCCUAUUAGUGGGGGACAACGUCUCGAAAGGGAUGCUAAUACCGCAUACGUCCUACGGGAGAAAGCAGGGGAUCACUUGUGACCUUGCGCUAAUAGAUGAGCCUAAGUCGGAUUAGCUAGUUGGUGGGGUAAAGGCCUACCAAGGCGACGAUCUGUAGCGGGUCUGAGAGGAUGAUCCGCCACACUGGGACGGAGACACGGCCCAGACUCCUACGGGGGGCAGCAGUGGGGAAUAUUGGACAAUGGGGAGAACCCUGAUCCAGCCAUGCCGCGUGUGUGAAGAAGGCCUUAUGGUUGUAAAGCACUUUAAGCGAGGAGGAGGCUCUUUUGGUUAAUACCCAAGAUGAGUGGACGUUACUCGCAGAAUAAGCACCGGCUAACUCUGUGCCAGCCGCCGCGGUAA